AAGGGAGAGCCCAUCUGAACACAAUGACAGGAUCUCUGACGCACUUCAGACUGACACAACGUGACACGGGACAGUACAACGUGAGCAUCAUAACUACUGAGGGAGUGACUGCAGAGUGGAGUGUCACACUUCAAGUGUUAGGGUAUUCCAGUUUGACUCUCACUAUUCCCACAAGCCCCGUUUUUGGAUGGGUAGGCGGCGUUGUGACAUUAAACCUUUCACUUAAUCCUUCAAAUGCCGUGUUACAGGCUGUGACCUGGAGGUUAAACAUUACUAACAAUGUGGUGAUUUGGACGGGUGGUGCAGUUUCAUACGGAGUUGGGUAUGAAGGGAGAGCCCAUCUGAACACAAUGACAGGAUCUCUGUCGCUCUUCAGACUGACUCUACGGACACGGGACAGUACAGCGUGAGCAUCAUAACUACUGAGGGUGUGACUGCGAGUGGAAGUGUUGCACUUCAAGUGUUAGGGUAUUCAGUUUGACUCUCACUAUUCCCACAAGCCCCGUUUUUGGAUGGGUAGGCGGCGUUGUGACAUUAAACCUUUCACUUAAUCCUUCAAAUGCCGUGUUACAGGCUGUGACCUGGACGGUAAACAUUACUAACAAUGUGGUGAUUUGGACGGGUGGUGCAGUUUCAUACGGAGUGGGGUAUGAAGGGAGAGCCCAUCUGAACACAAUGACAGGAUCUCUGUCGCUCUUCAGACUGACACUACGUGACUCGGGACAGUACAGCGUGAGCAUCAUAACUACUGAGGGUGUGACUGCGAGUGGAAGUGUUGCACUUCAAG
Molecule: long non-coding RNA, 787 nt
Organism: Polypterus senegalus (gray bichir)
Lineage: Eukaryota; Metazoa; Chordata; Cladistia; Polypteriformes; Polypteridae
Exons: 3
Source: RefSeq, a predicted model, not a curated record